This 253-nucleotide ribosomal RNA is filed under the name uncultured Bdellovibrio sp. RNAcentral's name for it is "partial 16S ribosomal RNA". It matches the Rfam family "Bacterial small subunit ribosomal RNA", at positions 524 to 776 of the family's 1533-position model. Lineage: Bacteria; Pseudomonadati; Bdellovibrionota; Bdellovibrionia; Bdellovibrionales; Pseudobdellovibrionaceae. The record is from RNAcentral.
GACGAGGGAUCCUAGCGUUGUUCGGAAUUAUUGGGCGUAAAGCGGGUGUAGGCGGACUUAUAAGUCAGGUGUGAAAUCCCAGGGCUCAACCCUGGAAGUGCACUUGAUACUGUAAGUCUUGAAUGUGGUAGAGGUUACUAGAAUUCCUGGUGUAGUGGUGAAAUACGUAGAUAUCAGGAGGAAUACCGGAGGCGAAGGCGGGUAACUGGGCCAACAUUGACGCUGAGAUCCGAAAGCGUGGGGAUCAAACAGG